Molecule: ribosomal RNA, 282 nt
Filed under: uncultured bacterium
Lineage: Bacteria
Description: partial 16S ribosomal RNA
Rfam family: Bacterial small subunit ribosomal RNA
Source: RNAcentral
CCCUACGGGACGCAGCAGUGAGGAAUAUUGGUCAAUGGACGAGAGUCUGAACCAGCCAAGUAGCGUGAAGGAUGACUGCCCUAUGGGUUGUAACCUUCUUUUAUAUUGGCAUAACAUGUUCCACGUGUGGGAUUUUGUAUGUACCAUAUGAAUAAGGAUCGGCUACCUCCGUGCCCGCAGCCGCGGUAAUACGGAGGAUCCGCGCGUUAUCCGGGUUUAUUGGGUUUAAAGGGAGCGUAGGUGGCUUGUUCAGUCAGUUGUGACAGUUUGCGGCUCACCCGU